UACGUAGGGUGCGAGCGUUGUCCGGAUUUAUUGGGCGUAAAGAGCGUGUAGGCGGUUCGGUAGGUCCGUUGUGAAAACUCGAGCUCAACCUCGAGACGCCGAUGGAAACCCCCGAACUAGAGUCCGGAAGAGGAGAGUGGAAUUCCUGGUGUAGCGGUGAAAUGCGCAGAUAUCAGGAAGAACACCCGUGGCUAAGGCGGCUCUCUAGUACGGUACUGACGCUGAGACGCGAAAGCGUGGGGAGCGAACAGG
This 252-nucleotide ribosomal RNA is filed under the name uncultured bacterium. RNAcentral describes it as "partial 16S ribosomal RNA". It matches the Rfam family "Bacterial small subunit ribosomal RNA", at positions 524 to 776 of the family's 1533-position model. The record is from RNAcentral.